CCUACGGGUGGCAGCAGUCGAGAAUCAUUCACAAUGGGGGAAACCCUGAUGGUGCGACGCCGCGUGGGGGAAUGAAGGUCUUCGGAUUGUAAACCCCUGUCAUGUGGGAGCAAAUUAAAAAGAUAGUACCACAAGAGGAAGAGACGGCUAACUCUGUGCCAGCAGCCGCGGUAAUACAGAGGUCUCAAGCGUUGUUCGGAAUCACUGGGCGUAAAGCGUGCGUAGGCUGUUUCGUAAGUCGUGUGUGAAAGGGGCGGGCUCAACCCGCGGACGGCACAUGAUACUGCGAGACUAGAGUAAUGGAGGGGGAACCGGAAUUCUCGGGGUAGCAGUGAAAUGCGUAGAUAUCGAGAGGAACACUCGUGGCGAAGGCGGGUUCCUGGACAUUAACUGACGCUGAGGCACGAAGGCCAGGGGAGCGAAAGGGAUUAGAUACCCCAGUAGUC
Molecule: ribosomal RNA, 446 nt
Filed under: uncultured bacterium
Lineage: Bacteria
Description: partial 16S ribosomal RNA
Rfam family: Bacterial small subunit ribosomal RNA
Source: RNAcentral